Molecule: non-coding RNA, 184 nt
Filed under: Rheinheimera sp.
Lineage: Bacteria; Pseudomonadati; Pseudomonadota; Gammaproteobacteria; Chromatiales; Chromatiaceae
Also listed under: 1 other name
Description: 6S RNA
Rfam family: 6S / SsrS RNA
About the family: E. coli 6S RNA was the first non coding RNA to be sequenced, but its function was unknown until recently. It consists of 184 nucleotides that fold into an extended hairpin structure with a large single-stranded internal bulge. The 6S RNA specifically associates with RNA polymerase holoenzyme containing the sigma70 specificity factor.
Source: RNAcentral
AGUUCUCUGAGUUGUUUGUGUUUGGCUGAUGUCCCCGAGCCGAUAAUCAUUUGAAACAGGGUUUCUUUUCCAGUGCUAUUGUGCAAGCCCGGCUCGUACCGGGAAGCCUGCGGUGCUGACCUGACUCCCGCCUUGAACCUACGGUUCAAGGGCUAACGCUGAACACGGCAAACUCGGAGAACAC